UCCCAAGAACCUUCAAGGGAGAUGGCCCUGCUGACACCUUGAUUUUGGACUUCUAACCUCCAGAACUGUGAGAGAAUAAUUUCUGUUGUUUUAAGCCACCCAGUUUGUGUUAAUUUGUUAUGGCAGCCCUAGGA
Molecule: microRNA precursor, 134 nt
Filed under: Chlorocebus sabaeus (green monkey)
Lineage: Eukaryota; Metazoa; Chordata; Mammalia; Primates; Cercopithecidae
Description: miRNA (ENSCSAG00000025765.1)
Source: RNAcentral